AAUAGAUACCCAGGUAGUCCACGCCGUAAACGAUGAGUGCUAAGUGUUAGAGGGUUUCCGCCCUUUAGUGCUGCAGCUAACGCAUUAAGCACUCCGCCUGGGGAGUACGGCCGCAAGGCUGAAACUCAAAGGAAUUGACGGGGGCCCGCACAAGCGGUGGAGCAUGUGGUUUAAUUCGAAGCAACGCGAAGAACCUUACCAGGUCUUGACAUCCUCUGCCAACUCUAGAGAUAGGGCGUUCCCCUUCGGGGGACAGAGUGACAGGUGGUGCAUGGUUGUCGUCAGCUCGUGUCGUGAGAUGUUGGGUUAAGUCCCGCAACGAGCGCAACCCUUGAUCUUAGUUGCCAGCAUUCAGUUGGGCACUCUAAGGUUGACUGCCGGUGACAAACCGGAGGAAGGUGGGGAUGACGUCAAAUCAUCAUGCCCCUUAUGACCUGGGCUACACACGUGCUACAAUGGAUGGUACAAAGAGUUGCGAACCCGCGAGGGUAAGCCAAUCUCAUAAAGCCAUUCUCAGUUCGGAUUGUAGG
Molecule: ribosomal RNA, 530 nt
Filed under: uncultured bacterium
Lineage: Bacteria
Description: bacterial SSU rRNA
Rfam family: Bacterial small subunit ribosomal RNA
Source: RNAcentral